Cyprinus carpio carpio is the source of this 1152-nucleotide long non-coding RNA. The record is from Ensembl. NCBI's taxonomy places the organism in Eukaryota, Metazoa, Chordata, Actinopteri, Cypriniformes, Cyprinidae.
GGCUGACUCAACGCCUGAGUCUUCCGUCAAGGAGCCACCGGCACGCCAUCAUAGAGGUCGCAGGAGGAGGAGACAGGCGUCAGCCGUUCCUCAAAGCCCGGAGGACGUUCCCGAGCAGGCCGCUGCCGUCCAGGAGGACGUUCCCGAGCAGGCCGCUACCGUCCAGGAGGACGAUCCCGAGCAGGCCGCUGUCGUCCAGGUGGACGUGCCCAAGGUUCCCGAGGCGGUGCCUGAUGCCGAAGCGGUGCCAGAUGUUGUUCCCGAUGCCGAGGCAGUGACCGAUGCUGUUCCGCAGGCCGAGGCGAUGCCCGUGUCCAGGGCCGUUCCCGAGGCGGUGUCCUUGUCCCAUGCCGUUCCUGAGGCCGCUCCCGAGGCGGUGCUCGAGCCCGAGGUCGUUCCCGAGGCGAUACCCGUGUCCAAGGCCGUUCCCGAGGCGGUGCCCUUGUCCAAGGCCGUUCCCGAGGCGGUGUCCAAUGCCGUGACCUGGCCAUCGCCACAGUCUGCUCCUCACUGGCUCCCCGAAUGGCAGGUUCCGUUCGGGCCACUCAAAUGGCGAAUUCCUCCCUGGCCGUCUGCACAACGAGAAUGGACUGAUCCACCGUGGCCACCUGAACUGCCUGGCCCCUCGUGGUCCCCUGAACUUUCGGGUCCACCGUGGCCACCUGAACUGCCUGGUCCCUCGUGGUCCCCUGAACUUUCGGGUCCACCAUGGCCCCCUGAUCUGACCGAGCCACCUGGGCUGCCAGGGGAGCCAUCGCUGCCGGUCCCAGUUCCCCUACACGGGCCUGGCCCGCCAUCCCUCCCCCUGUUCUGCCUCCACCAGUCCACCUCCCUCCUGGUCUCGUUGUUUUGUUUUUGGUGUUUUGUUCUGGGGAGCAUCUGGAAGCUGCUCCUUAGAGGGGGGGUAAUGUCACAGUGUCUGGUCUGUGUAUCCCUGGGUGUCCACUAGAGGUCUCACUUCCCAUUAUCGUCACCCCACUUCAGAACUGCAUUUCCCAUAGUCUUGUCUGUUUCAUCACUGCUCAUUGCACUCAGCUGUCCCUGGUCAUUAAUCAUUGCACUCAGCCAAUUCCCCGUUAGUAUUGUAAUCACCUGUCUAUAUAUACCUGGUUUGUUUCUGUCUGUGUCACGGAGUCCUUGUUUAAUGUCACC